Molecule: ribosomal RNA, 520 nt
Filed under: uncultured bacterium
Lineage: Bacteria
Description: bacterial SSU rRNA
Rfam family: Bacterial small subunit ribosomal RNA
Source: RNAcentral
CAGGACGACGCUGGCGGCGUGCCUAAUACAUGCAAGUCGAACGGUCUUUUCUAUGGAAGCUUGCUUCCACUGAGAAGAUAGUGGCGAACGGGUGAGUAACACGUGGGUAACCUGCCCAUAAGAGGGGGAUAACAUCCGGAAACGGGUGCUAAUACCGCAUAGUUUUCUUGAUUGCAUGAUUGAGAAAGGAAAGACGGCCUUUGUGCUGUCGCUUAUGGAUGGACCCGCGGCGUAUUAGUUAGUUGGUGAGGUAACGGCUCACCAAGACGAUGAUACGUAGCCGACCUGAGAGGGUGAUCGGCCACAUUGGGACUGAGACACGGCCCAAACUCCUACGGGAGGCAGCAGUAGGGAAUCUUCCGCAAUGGACGAAAGUCUGACGGAGCAACGCCGCGUGAGUGAAAGAAGGUUUUCGGAUCGUAAAACUCUGUUGUCAGAGAAGAACAAGUUGGAGAGUAACUGCUCCAGCCUUGACGGUAUCUGACCAGAAAGCCACGGCUAACUACGUGCCAGCCGCCGC